RNAcentral lists this ribosomal RNA (300 nucleotides) under uncultured Pyrobaculum sp. RNAcentral describes it as "bacterial SSU rRNA". It matches the Rfam family "Bacterial small subunit ribosomal RNA", at positions 496 to 795 of the family's 1533-position model. Lineage: Archaea; Thermoproteati; Thermoproteota; Thermoprotei; Thermoproteales; Thermoproteaceae. The record is from RNAcentral.
GCUAGCGCUGUGCCAGGGGCGGCGUGAAUAGUGGGGUCGCGAGCGUUUUUCGGAUUGAUGGGGCGUAACGGGGGCGUAGGCGGCGCGGUAAGUCGGGUGUGAAAUCUCGGAGCUUAACUCCGAAACUGCAUUCGAUACGGCCGUGCUUGAGGACUGGAGAGGAGACUGGAAUUUACGGUGUAGCGGUGAAAUGCGUAGAUAUCGUAAGGAAGACCAGUGGCGAAGGCGGGUCUCUGGACAGUUCCUGACGCUGAGGCACGAAGGUCAGGGGAGCAAACGGGAUUAGAUACCCCUGUAGUC